Nematostella vectensis (starlet sea anemone) is the source of this 613-nucleotide long non-coding RNA. RefSeq lists it as uncharacterized. The transcript has 2 exons. NCBI's taxonomy places the organism in Eukaryota, Metazoa, Cnidaria, Anthozoa, Actiniaria, Edwardsiidae. The record is from RefSeq and is a predicted model, not a curated record.
CUUACAACGUCUGAUUACAACAAAUAGUCUAGUAAAGAGUCAUAUAAAACUCUUCGGGAGGCAACAGGAGCGAAUUUGGAUCAAAAGGAGCAGUGCAUUCCCUUGGAGCUGAACGGGUGAGAGUCGUUCGCACGAUACAGGGAGAAAUGAGUGGAUUAUAAAAUGAUCUGUUGGAUCUACCUUCAGAGAGGAUAAUCACGGCUUCCAGGGCAGUUUUUCAGAAGUCUAGGACUUGUGAUGCUGGGCUUCUGUUGAUGUGCACUUGAGGGCCCAUGAGAUAGAGUAUUAACAAACAUUCUUUAAUUUUGUAAGAAUCAUUGAGAGGCACAUUAAUGCUACAGGGUCUGUACUCGAUUUCAAUUCAACAUCAGCUUAGUUUAUGUAAGGGACUCAUCUUCAUUAGUUUUCAUCAAAUAAUACAGUAAAUACAGAGCAAAGAGACACUGGCCAAAUAUACAAGCUUUAGUGAUAUCGCUCUCAUUUCAUCAUCAUAAUCCUAUGGCCUCAGCCGAGAGGGCUCAAGAUGACCCUGAGGUCUUUUAUUGCACUUGGCAUGUCCAUUACAAACUCACCAUGAUUGUGCAUUGCAUAAAAUUAAAGGUUUACUCACUUA